RNAcentral lists this long non-coding RNA (292 nucleotides) under Carica papaya (papaya). RNAcentral's name for it is "long non-coding RNA (CPAP_LNC015556)". The record is from RNAcentral. Lineage: Eukaryota; Viridiplantae; Streptophyta; Magnoliopsida; Brassicales; Caricaceae.
CCAUCACCACCUUCCAUUGGGAUUUGGUACACGGCUCUGAUACCAAGUUGUCAUGACCUGGGUAUAUGGUUAUGACUUAAGAAAGUAUGUAUUCGGAUUUGAGGGAAAAAGAGGGAGAGUGAGAGGAGAAAUAGAAAGAUUUGAGAAAGAUAAAGUAAGAACAUCAAGAGGAAUAGAUAGAAAAUCAGAGAGAAAAGAUAGAUAUUGAGAGAAAUAGGUAAAAAUGAGGGAGAUAAUGAUAAUAUAUUCAAAAUAUAUCAUUUAUUGAUUGAUUACAUAGAUAAAAAAUAUG